GGCUCGAAGAUGCUAGUCUACGAACAACUUCGACAGCUGACCUCUUUCUUCUUCUACAAGCAUCUUGGAUACUCUAAAGUGAUAGAAGAUUUGGAGGAGGAAGAAAGGAGGAGGAAAAGAUGCUCUAGAAAUAAAAAAAUUACUAGAGAAUUGUUCAUGGGAUGUCCAAAAGAGGGGUCCCCUUUUUAUAGACUAGGAAUUAGGACUUUCCAAGAAAGGAUGCCAUGAAUCAACACACCAAAGAAAUUUGGAGAAGAAAUUUGGAGUCUCACACACCAAAGAAUUCCUUAAAA
This 293-nucleotide long non-coding RNA is filed under the name Elaeis guineensis (African oil palm). RNAcentral describes it as "long non-coding RNA (EGUI_LNC077780)". The record is from RNAcentral. Lineage: Eukaryota; Viridiplantae; Streptophyta; Magnoliopsida; Arecales; Arecaceae.